Molecule: long non-coding RNA, 1596 nt
Organism: Ictalurus punctatus (channel catfish)
Lineage: Eukaryota; Metazoa; Chordata; Actinopteri; Siluriformes; Ictaluridae
Source: Ensembl
CUCAUAGUGGCAUGCAUUCAUUAAGGCUUGGCAUAAGGCAAUGCAUAUGAUUAUCUGUGGCAUGCAUAGGGGUAAUGUAAAGGGCUUAACUUUUGGAGAUGCUGAUUCUACUAUGCGUUUCAUCUGUGCACUGUGGGACUGAGAUCUAUAAAAGAGCAGGAUUAGAAACGGUCUACUCAUUUUUGCACAGAGGAGCAUACGUUUAUGAUGCUUCCUCAUUUGCAGCGCGUGCACCUGCGGUUAGGCGGGGAGGCUGUUAGCAUCACCGCGCGCGUGCAGUCUUUUAAUUCUACUUUAUUCUUCUUCUCAUUGUUAUCAUGAUCAUUUCUUAAAAAGAAUCUGAUGUCAUUUGGCCUCGCUAGUUCUGUAUUCACGCCUCCGAUCACGCAAAGCACAGUCAAUAUUCCACGCCUUUUCCACUACAUAAACUGCAUGACGGAAUUAUUAUGCACCGCGCGUGCUGUUUACUUUAGUGCCAACUUCACUAUCAUCACCGCUUAUCUACCGAUACGUUACCGAGAAAUGACAUAAACGAUACAAAAAUGCAUGAAAAUCAGCUUUAAAACUGUCUCCGCACUCAGCAUUUUUCCAGAAGAGAGAGAGAGAGAGAAGGAGGACAAGACAUUCCACCCUGCCAUUUAUUAGCCAAAGUGGAUUAAUGGUACACACCUGCUUUCCUGUACACAGCGUCACUGUAUUAGCUGGUAAGUUCAUUUUCGAAUUCACAAUCAAACCCAUAUUGAUGUAUAUGGAAUUUUGGACAGAACUCUCGAAAACGGAAAAUCGGCUACGUCGGUUACACUUGAUGUCAGGUGCGGCGCGGAAUUAUUUAUUGAUUUUUAAAUUUUUAAUCUUAUUAUUAACUGAGUUAUUAUUCACUUCUGAUUAGCUGAGGUCACGCUAAUAAUACGAACUCGGCUAGCUAAUGAUGCUAAAUUUCUACAACAGUGCUGUUGAACGCUGGAUUCUGAUUGGUCAGAAGAUGAAAAGUUGAUGAAUUUUCUAAAGCGGCGAACAAAGCCGACGUUUUCCGACGUCCCGCGUGCUAACAGUAACUUUGCUUCAUCACACCACCCUGUCGUCGGUGAUCGCCCUAUAUAUAACGGAACACGCGCGAGGGUUUUAUUCCUUGCGGAUCAGAUUUAUAUCAUCAUCUAAUCUGUGAUCAGAUUUUCUGUACUAGAAGCUAAAGACGUGGUAACAGUCUGGCCUCGCACUAGCGUAGCGCUGAGGAGUUAGCAGGCUGCGUUCUUAGCUAGCGCUCUGCGAUGUUUUUAUGUAUUUUCAACACGUCUCGCUUCUUAAGGGGAUUUGUCAAGAAAACAUCCUGAUAAUGUGUUUCAAACUCCUGUGUACGAAACGUACGGGAAAAGAAACCCGAAGUCACCUCACGUCUCGCCUCUAUUCGUGUGCUAGCAUGAUGUUAGCUAAUAGCUAGAAGAAUGCGUUUUGCACCAGUAGUUAGUUGUUUUUUUUUUAUUGUCUAAGAAUUCUGUGUGAGAUUUUUAAAGUAAGUGUGUGUGUGUGUGUGUGUGUGUGUGUGUGUUGAUUUAGACCUGCAGGUUGGACAGUGCUAAAGUAGAAACUAGAUUAGCC